AGCAAGAGGACCGCGCUGGGAGCCAUGGGGAAGCUUAUAGGAGGCCCCAGAUGGACCAGCGUGCGCCCCCCGCCCCCCGUCCUUCUUCCCGUGGGCGUGUUACCUGGUCGCCGCUCAUCCAUCAUAGCUACAAAUUCUGGUGUGGGGGCCGGGGCCAUUACCUCGCCCUAACUGCCGAGUUGAGUUGGCUGGGAGUCUCCUUCGCCGUUGUUGACCACGGAGUGAGAGAAAAAAAGAUUGAUUGAUAGUUUAUUGCUGCAGGUAUACUACAGAGGAGAAGGGAGGAACCUGCCAUCCUAACCCCCAAGCAGUACAGAGAUGCAGCAAGGCUAGGUGUGUAUAGCUGGAUGGCAGAUCGAAUUAAGUAGCUUGCCUUAAUUUGCAACAUUUCUAACUUUGUCUUUUAUUAGUAUUUCCCUUUCCCAUCAGAACUUAUGUUGUAUUUUUUUUUUCAUUAUUGUUUAUAAAUAGUAUGGGACACAGGCCAAGUUAGGGUAAAACAUGAAGAAAAGUGCCACUCUUAAAUUCAUAGCAGGAGACAGCUAAGGAAGAAGCCGAAAACGGCCUGUCAAAUUUAGUGUAUUAUUUUCAGGCGUUAAUACAUCAGCCGUUUUUUGCCGCUUUGUAUGAAAUGUAGAAAAUCACCUUAAAAGCAAAGUGUAUGUAAAUUGAUGUAUGUACACUGACUGCAGCGUGUGUGAAACAUAUGUUGGGUACGUCGCUUGGCUGAGGUGUGAUUAAAUUGUCGAGGUUUAUAUUACUGAAGAAAAUACAUUGCCCCUAUUAAUAUUAAAGUAUGACAUGCCGUGAUGCAUUAGUUACGGUAGCAUGCUAUAAGUAGGGGGGCGUGGCCCACCCAGUUGUUCAUCCUUUAAUUAGGAGUGGUCGGUAAAUGGGUAUCUGGGGAAACCUGUUAAUGUUAACUUGGAUAACCUGGAUGUCACACUCGCCUUGUUCCCUGACCAAUGUAACACAGGCUGGUGGGCCAAUGAGACAGAAGUGAGCACCAAGGUCAUGCGCAUCUAUGGCGUAAUAGAAGAGGAAGCAGACUCCCCAAAAUCCACCCCGAACCGCCUGGAGACCGUGUCGCCUUGAGGUAACACUAAUUUUGCUGAUUCUGCUGCAAAAGAAACUUCAGUUUUGGAAACUAUUGGCUGGCUGGUGCAGCUAGGUUGCUGUCUGUUCUGAUCCAGGAUGUUGUGUUCUCUCACCUACAUGAAGUCUUAACUGUCCUAAACUUUUUGUAGGCCAUGUAACAUCAUUUCCAUGGCUAGUGAUGACAGCCUCAGAUACGGACACUAAACAUUCUGUUGUCAAAUCGUGGAGGCUACACUUCAACCAAGCAAAAUAUGCUAUUCUUGCUGUCACAGAGGUAAUACACCUUGGGACAACAUUGGUUCUCUUCCAAAAUAUAACCUACAUGAUAAUGACCUAAUAUUGCAUGACUGUCACGAGGAUCCUGGUAUUUAUGUUAAAAUUAUUUGAAGAUUCCACACAGAUCAACUGUUUAUAAAGCUGCAGGUCUAGUAAAUAACUUGUUAAAUCUACUUUUCAUAUUGUUCCCAGGAAUUUAUCAUAGUCUUGUUUGAAUCCUAUGUAAGACCAAUUCUGGAAUAUGGAUCAUGUCUAUGGGACACAGACUGUCAUUGUGAUCUGGAGUUACUAGUCAAUGCAGUAAAAAUUAAAGCUCUUUCAUGGAUCCCCCCCCCCUCCUCCUCCUGAUAUACAUAGCUUUUACCUUCACUAAAAAGUUGCUUACUUUCUUUUGG
Eriocheir sinensis (Chinese mitten crab) is the source of this 1769-nucleotide long non-coding RNA. RefSeq lists it as uncharacterized. The transcript is spliced from 3 exons. NCBI's taxonomy places the organism in Eukaryota, Metazoa, Arthropoda, Malacostraca, Decapoda, Varunidae. The record is from RefSeq and is a predicted model, not a curated record.